Chiroxiphia lanceolata (lance-tailed manakin) is the source of this 1238-nucleotide long non-coding RNA. RefSeq lists it as uncharacterized. The record is from RefSeq and is a predicted model, not a curated record. NCBI's taxonomy places the organism in Eukaryota, Metazoa, Chordata, Aves, Passeriformes, Pipridae. The transcript has 3 exons.
GCUCCUUGCUGGCCAGGCAGAGGGAUUGACCACAGUUUGUCUAUUCCCAGGGCUGUUUUGCUGCCCACAGCAAUGGAGCCAGAGCAGAGUGGAGUGUGUUUGGCUCUGUGGAAUGUUGUGUCACUCACUGCAGGUGCCAUGGGACUAAGCAAGAGGGAACUCACAGGCUGGAGCUGGGAGGGGACCCUGUCAUCCCAACAGAGAUACCGGCAGUCAUGAGGUGGUGGCAAGAUGCCACCAAACAGCCCAGGCCACACUGGCCUGCCAGGUCCCCAGUUUCAGCCUGGCUGCUCCUCAGCAUCCCCCUGACAGUGCCUGGGGUGGGGAAGGAUGACUCCAUCCCAUCCCAGGGCUGCCUCCUCUGGCUUUUCCAAGCUGGCUGGUAUUGAUGCCUCCAGGCACCUUCCUGCAGGACCACAGUGCCAGGGGCUGCAGAUGCUGUUGAAGCCGCUGAGCAUCCUGACCUUCACGCUGCUUAAAAAAAAGUACCAUUUCUGGCACACUGGCCCCACUGCUGAAGAGCUGUUCCUCUUCCACCUCCUUCACCUGCUGGGAUGAAAAGCUGCAGGGUUGUGCUGCCAUGAAGAGGGACCCUGAUGGGCAAAGAGGAGCUUCAUGGAGUGCAACAAGGGGAAGUAUGAACUCCUGCCACUGGGAGGAAUAACCCCACUCAUCAGUACAUACUGGGGGCCAAUCAGCUGGAAAAGAACUUUGCAGGUAAAGACCUGAGGGGUCCUGGUGGACAACAAGCUGACCUUGAGCCAGAGGUGCAUUCUCAAAGCCGGCAAUAUCAUGGCCUGGAUUAGGAAGAGUGUUGCCAACGGGCCAAGGGAGAAGGAGGAAGAAGGUUUUGAUUCAUCCUUUGUGACCAAGAACUGCUGCCACUGGUGGAAACAGGACUGGCACCUGUGAGUGUUUCAGAUAUUUCUUGCCAACUCUUAGGUCCAGCAAAGUGUUGCAUGAAGGAACUUUAACCCCAUUUCAAGGACUGGGAAGCAGGACAGAGACAGAGGGAAGGGAUCUGCCCAGUGUCACAUCAUUAAGCCAGGGAUAGGUUGGGAAGGCACCAGACCCUUCUGUGAGACCUGGUUCAGUUCCCUCUGUACUGGGUCAUGUUCUAGCAGGUCAUAUAUGUGUAUCCAAGAGUUGUGAGUGUAUCCAAGAGUGUCAAACUGUCUGGACCAGUGAUCAGCAGGGAUUGCUGAACGAGUUCACAGAAAAUUUUAACAUUGUUAAAU